Molecule: long non-coding RNA, 904 nt
Organism: Brachypodium distachyon (stiff brome)
Lineage: Eukaryota; Viridiplantae; Streptophyta; Magnoliopsida; Poales; Poaceae
Exons: 2
Source: RefSeq, a predicted model, not a curated record
ACGUUUGACAGCACAUGAGUUGCUAACCUCCUCCUCCUCUUCCCCUAGGGACCUAUACUUGAACGCGUCGCGUGCCCAGUAACCUCUGUACAUGGCAUCAGCAAGCAUCUUGAGCUGUGCCAGCAUCCCAGAGUUGGUUGUUCUCGUGGCAUCUUAAUCUACCUCUCGUGACUCUCAUGGCUGCAAAUUAACUGAAUUCUUUCGCCUAUACAUGCUUGUUCGAUCGUGGCAGCGCGCCAUCGCUGCGGAGCCUCCAGGUGACGUGCAUCUUUGACAUGACGCGUGAUCGGAAGGAGAUGCUUACCGCGGCGAUGAAGAAGCUCCACCUGCGCUACUACGAAACACAACAUAUUGGUUGAGCAAGGGCAUCGGAUCGACUGGCCCACUCCGAACUUAUUCUCCUGCGGUCCAAUCUCCUCUCUCUCCCUUAUCUCCUCCCUCCCUCCCUUUUCUCUUCUCCCUGCCCGAUGCCCCCAAAUCCCCCCGGUCUCCUCCCGAACUCCCUUCUCUUCUCCCUGCCCGAAGCCCCCCAAUCCCCCCAAUCUCCUCCCGAACUCCCUUCUCUUCUCCCGAGCAGCAGCAGCAGUGGCCCGUAGCGCAUGGAGCAGCAGCAGCAGUGGCCCGUAGGGCAUGGAGGAGCAGCAGCAGUGGCCCGUAGCGCAUGGAGGAGCAGCAGCAGCGGGGCGCGCCGCCGAUAUUGUUGGUGUCAGGCUCGGGGAGGAAUUUUGGUGGCCGGCCACGACCAUCGCCGUGAGAUCCGGCCUCUUGCUUUUUUUGUGAUUUGUAAUCCGUGAUUUAUGGAUGUGAUUUGUAAUUCGUGCUUAUCUUUGAUUUGUGUAUCUGUGAUUUGCUUAUCUGUGAUUUGAAAAUAUUAGCAGGCUACGGCCUGUUUUUUUUUAAAUCA